Molecule: ribosomal RNA, 535 nt
Filed under: uncultured bacterium
Lineage: Bacteria
Description: bacterial SSU rRNA
Rfam family: Bacterial small subunit ribosomal RNA
Source: RNAcentral
AAUAGAUACCCCGGUAGUCCACGCCGUAAACGAUGUCGACUUGGAGGUUGUUCCCUUGAGGAGUGGCUUCCGGAGCUAACGCGUUAAGUCGACCGCCUGGGGAGUACGGCCGCAAGGUUAAAACUCAAAUGAAUUGACGGGGGCCCGCACAAGCGGUGGAGCAUGUGGUUUAAUUCGAUGCAACGCGAAGAACCUUACCUACUCUUGACAUCCAGAGAACUUAGCAGAGAUGCUUUGGUGCCUUCGGGAACUCUGAGACAGGUGCUGCAUGGCUGUCGUCAGCUCGUGUUGUGAAAUGUUGGGUUAAGUCCCGCAACGAGCGCAACCCUUAUCCUUUGUUGCCAGCGGUUAGGCCGGGAACUCAAAGGAGACUGCCAGUGAUAAACUGGAGGAAGGUGGGGAUGACGUCAAGUCAUCAUGGCCCUUACGAGUAGGGCUACACACGUGCUACAAUGGCGCAUACAAAGAGAAGCGACCUCGCGAGAGCAAGCGGACCUCAUAAAGUGCGUCGUAGUCCGGAUUGGAGUCUGCAACG